UACGUAGGGUGCGAGCGUUGUCCGGAAUUAUUGGGCGUAAAGAGCUCGUAGGCGGCCUGUCGCGUCGAUCGUGAAAACUUGGGGCUUAACCCUGAGCUUGCGGUCGAUACGGGCAUGACUGGAGUUCGGCAGGGGAGACUGGAAUUCCUGGUGUAGCGGUGAAAUGCGCAGAGAUCAGGAGGAACACCGGUGGCGAAGGCAGGUCUCUGGGCCGAUACUGACGCUGAGGUGCGAAAGCGUGGGGAGCAAACAGG
Molecule: ribosomal RNA, 254 nt
Filed under: uncultured bacterium
Lineage: Bacteria
Description: partial 16S ribosomal RNA
Rfam family: Bacterial small subunit ribosomal RNA
Source: RNAcentral